This 490-nucleotide ribosomal RNA is filed under the name uncultured bacterium. RNAcentral's name for it is "partial 16S ribosomal RNA". It matches the Rfam family "Bacterial small subunit ribosomal RNA", at positions 30 to 507 of the family's 1533-position model. The record is from RNAcentral.
AUUGAACGCUGGCGGCAGGCCUAACACAUGCAAGUCGAACGGUAACAGGAAGAAGCUUGCUUCUUUGCUGACGAGUGGCGGACGGGUGAGUAAUGUCUGGGAAACUGCCUGAUGGAGGGGGAUAACUACUGGAAACGGUAGCUAAUACCGCAUAACGUCGCAAGACCAAAAAGGGGGACCUUCGGGCCUCUUGCCAUCGGAUGUGCCCAGAUGGGAUUAGCUAGUAGGUGGGGUAACGGCUCACCUAGGCGACGAUCCCUAGCUGGUCUGAGAGGAUGACCAGCCACACUGGAACUGAGACACGGUCCAGACUCCUACGGGAGGCAGCAGUGGGGAAUAUUGCACAAUGGGCGCAAGCCUGAUGCAGCCAUGCCGCGUGUAUGAAGAAGGCCUUCGGGUUGUAAAGUACUUUCAGUGGGGAGGAAGGGAGUAAAGUUAAUACCUUUGCUCAUUGACGUUACCCGCAGAAGAAGCACCGGCUAACUCCGUG